This 403-nucleotide ribosomal RNA is filed under the name bacterium. Its description in RNAcentral is "partial 16S ribosomal RNA". It matches the Rfam family "Bacterial small subunit ribosomal RNA", at positions 355 to 776 of the family's 1533-position model. The record is from RNAcentral.
UGGGGAAUAUUGCACAAUGGGGGAAACCCUGAUGCAGCGACGCCGCGUGAACGAAGAAGGUAUUCGUAUCGUAAAGUUCUAUCCUAUGGGAAGAUAAUGACAGUACCAUAGAAGAAAGCUCCGGCUAAAUACGUGCCAGCAGCCGCGGUAAUACGUAUGGAGCGAGCGUUGUCCGGAAUUAUUGGGCGUAAAGGGUACGCAGGCGGUUUAAUAAGUCGAAUGUUAAAGAUCGGGGCUCAACCCCGUAAAGCAUUGGAAACUGAUAAACUUGAGUAGUGGAGAGGAAAGUGGAAUUCCUAGUGUAGUGGUGAAAUACGUAGAUAUUAGGAGGAAUACCAGUAGCGAAGGCGACGUUCUGGACACAAACUGACGCUGAGGUACGAAAGCGUGGGGAGCAAACAGG